This 406-nucleotide ribosomal RNA is filed under the name uncultured bacterium. RNAcentral describes it as "bacterial SSU rRNA". It matches the Rfam family "Bacterial small subunit ribosomal RNA", at positions 356 to 773 of the family's 1533-position model. The record is from RNAcentral.
UGGGAAUAUUGGACAAUGGGGUAACCCCUGAUCCAGCAAUCCCGCGUGAGUGAUGAAGGCCUUCGGGUUGUAAAGCUCUUUAAGUUGGGAAGAAGGGAAACUUGACUGUACCAACAGAAUAAGCACCGGCUAACUCUGUGCCAGCAGCCGCGGUAAUACAGAGGGUGCAAGCGUUGUUCGGACUUACUGGGCGUAAAGCGCGUGUAGGCGGUCUUUUAAGUCUGGUGUGAAAGCCUGAGGCUUAACCUCAGAAGUGCACUGGAUACUGGAAGACUAGAGGGUGAAAGAGGAGAGUGGAAUUCAUGGUGUAGGGGUGAAAUCCGUAGAUAUCAUGAGGAACAUCAGUGGCGAAGGCGGCUCUCUGGUUCACUACUGACGCUCAGACGCGAAAGCAUGGGGAGCAAAC